RNAcentral lists this ribosomal RNA (788 nucleotides) under uncultured Verrucomicrobiota bacterium. RNAcentral's name for it is "bacterial SSU rRNA". It matches the Rfam family "Bacterial small subunit ribosomal RNA", at positions 64 to 835 of the family's 1533-position model. Lineage: Bacteria; Pseudomonadati; Verrucomicrobiota. The record is from RNAcentral.
AGACUUUUCGUUGUAGCAAUACGAUGGAAAGUUUAGUGGCGAACGGGUGCUUAACACGUGGGCAACCUGCCAAGAAGUGGGGGAUAGCUCGCCGAAAGGCGAAUUAAUACCGCAUGUGAUUAGAGAGGACAUCCUUUCGAAAUUAAAAGUGGCGCAAGCUACUGCUUCUUGUGGGGCCCGCGGCCUAUCAGCUAGUUGGUGAGGUAACGGCCCACCAAGGCUUUGACGGGUAGCUGGUCUGAGAGGACGACCAGCCACACUGGGACUGAGACACGGCCCAGACACCUACGGGUGGCAGCAGUCGAGAAUUUUUGACAAUGGGGGAAACCCUGAUCGAGCGACGCCGCGUGGAGGAUGAAGGUCUUCGGAUUGUAAACUCCUGUCAUUGGGGAACAAUGUCCCGCUUUUGACUGAGGCGGGAUUGAUAGUACCCGAAGAGGAAGGGACGGCUAACUCUGUGCCAGCAGCCGCGGUAAUACAGAGGUCUCAAGCGUUGUUCGGAUUCAUUGGGCGUAAAGGGUGCGUAGGCGGCGCGGUAAGUCGGGUGUGAAAUCUCGGGGCUUAACUCCGAAACUGCAUUCGAUACUGCCGUGCUUGAGGACUGGAGAGGAGACUGGAAUUUACGGUGUAGCGGUGAAAUGCGUAGAUAUCGUAAGGAAGACCAGUGGCGAAGGCGGGUCUCUGGACAGUUCCUGACGCUGAGGCACGAAGGUCAGGGGAGCAAACGGGAUUAGAUACCCCGGUAGUCCUGACAGUAAACGGUGCACGUUUGGUGUGGGAGGAUUCGA